UACGUAGGGUGCGAGCGUUAAUCGGAAUUACUGGGCGUAAAGCGUGCGUAGGCGGUUCGUUAAGUCAGCUGUGAAAGCCCCGGGCUCAACCUGGGAACUGCGGUUGAAACUGGCGAACUAGAAUCUGGCAGAGGGGGGUGGAAUUCCACGUGUAGCAGUGAAAUGCGUAGAGAUGUGGAGGAACACCGAUGGCGAAGGCAGCCCCCUGGGCUGAGAUUGACGCUCAGGCACGAAAGCGUGGGGAGCAAACAGG
RNAcentral lists this ribosomal RNA (253 nucleotides) under uncultured bacterium. RNAcentral describes it as "partial 16S ribosomal RNA". It matches the Rfam family "Bacterial small subunit ribosomal RNA", at positions 524 to 776 of the family's 1533-position model. The record is from RNAcentral. RNAcentral also lists the same sequence under 1 other name.